CGGAUAGGGGCGGCAGCUACACAUGCAAGUCGAGCGGAUGAAGGGAGCUUGCUCCCUGAUUUAGCGGCGGACGGGUGAGUAAUGCCUAGGAAUCUGCCUGGUAGUGGGGGAUAACGUUCCGAAAGGAACGCUAAUACCGCAUACGUCCUACGGGAGAAAGCAGGGGACCUUCGGGCCUUGCGCUAUCAGAUGAGCCUAGGUCGGAUUAGCUAGUUGGUGAGGUAAUGGCUCACCAAGGCGACGAUCCGUAACUGGUCUGAGAGGAUGAUCAGUCACACUGGAACUGAGACACGGUCCAGACUCCUACGGGAGGCAGCAGUGGGGAAUAUUGGACAAUGGGCGAAAGCCUGAUCCAGCCAUGCCGCGUGUGUGAAGAAGGUCUUCGGAUUGUAAAGCACUUUAAGUUGGGAGGAAGGGCAUUAACCUAAUACGUUAGUGUUUUGACGUUACCGACAGAAUAAGCACCGGCUAACUUCGUGCCAGCAGCCGCGGUAAUACGAAGGGUGCAAGCGUUAAUCGGAAUUACUGGGCGUAAAGCGCGCGUAGGUGGUUCGUUAAGUUGGAUGUGAAAGCCCCGGGCUCAACCUGGGAACUGCAUCCAAAACUGGCGAGCUAGAGUACGGUAGAGGGUGGCGGAAUUUCCUGUGUAGCGGUGAAAUGCGUAGAUAUAGGAAGGAACACCAGUGGCGAAGGCGACCACCUGGACUGAUACUGACACUGAGGUGCGAAAGCGUGGGGAGCAAACAGGAUUAGAUACCCUGGUAGUCCACGCCGUAAACGAUGUCAACUAGCCGUUGGGUACCUUGAGAGCUUAGUGGCGCAGCUAACGCAUUAAGUUGACCGCCUGGGGAGUACGGCCGCAAGGUUAAAACUCAAAUGAAUUGACGGGGCCCGCACAAGCGGUGAGCAUGUGUUUAAUUCGAAGCACGCGAAGAACCUUACCUGGGCUUGACAUGCUGAGAACUUUCCAGAGAUGGAUUGGUGCCUUC
RNAcentral lists this ribosomal RNA (989 nucleotides) under uncultured bacterium. RNAcentral describes it as "bacterial SSU rRNA". It matches the Rfam family "Bacterial small subunit ribosomal RNA", at positions 33 to 1021 of the family's 1533-position model. The record is from RNAcentral.